RNAcentral lists this ribosomal RNA (422 nucleotides) under uncultured bacterium. RNAcentral's name for it is "bacterial SSU rRNA". It matches the Rfam family "Bacterial small subunit ribosomal RNA", at positions 355 to 774 of the family's 1533-position model. The record is from RNAcentral.
UAAGGAAUAUUGGUCAAUGGACGCAAGUCUGAACCAGCCAUGCCGCGUGGAGGAUUAAGGCCCUCUGGGUUGUAAACUCCUUUUAUCUGGGAAGAAAUGUACUUUUUCUUGAGUACUUGACGGUACCAGAGGAAUAAGCACCGGCUAACUCCGUGCCAGCAGCCGCGGUAAUACGGAGGGUGCAAGCGUUAUCCGGAUUCACUGGGUUUAAAGGGUGCGUAGGUGGGUAUGUAAGUCAGUGGUGAAAUCCCCGAGCUUAACUUGGGAACUGCCAUUGAUACUAUAUAUCUUGAAUACCGUAGAGGUAAGCGGAAUAUGUCAUGUAGCGGUGAAAUGCUUAGAUAUGACAUGGAACACCAAUUGCGAAGGCAGCUUACUAUGCGGUGAUUGACACUGAGGCACGAAAGCGUGGGUAGCAAACA